UAAUUGGAUCAGAGAUUGCAGUUUUUUUAGGGAAAAUGACCAGAAUGUUGAGCAAGAUUCCAAGUACUUGGAGCGGGAGGAUAUUAAGAGAUUUGAGGAGAGAGUUUACCAGAAUGUUGAGCAAGAUUUCAAGCAAUUAGAGAAUAUAAUAGAUAAUUUGGUUGUGAUCGGCAUUGUAAUCGUUAAUUAAUU
This is a long non-coding RNA of Populus euphratica (Euphrates poplar), 192 nucleotides long. RefSeq lists it as uncharacterized. The record is from RefSeq and is a predicted model, not a curated record. The transcript has 2 exons. NCBI's taxonomy places the organism in Eukaryota, Viridiplantae, Streptophyta, Magnoliopsida, Malpighiales, Salicaceae.